This is a long non-coding RNA of Canis lupus familiaris (dog), 298 nucleotides long. RefSeq lists it as uncharacterized. The transcript is spliced from 3 exons. The record is from RefSeq and is a predicted model, not a curated record. Lineage: Eukaryota; Metazoa; Chordata; Mammalia; Carnivora; Canidae.
CUGAAAGUUAAUCUUGUCUUCAAAUUUCUUAUUAGGUCUAAACCAGUCCUUUGAUAGGCACCAGGGAGAAAAACAGAUGUGAUCUCAGCUUUCAACAAUUAAGAAAUCAUCCAAGUUCAGACAGUUUCAAUGUGAGUCUUCAAAGACAAUGCAUUGGUUUCAGACAUUAUGAAUCUUGUUCUCACAGUUGCAAAAUGGCUGAUGGGCCUCUACCAACAUGUCCAUAUUCCAUGCAGACAUAAAUAAGAAGGGGGAGGGCAAACAACAUGUACCAACAGUUUAUUCAACAAAUUAAUGA